UGAAAUCUAAAAGGCAUAUUUGUCAGUUAGUGAAAAGCUCAAGAUUUUAAAGUGUAAUUGUGUUAUAUUUUUUAUUAAAGAUGCAAUGACAACUGGAGAAUUAUUGCUAAAACUUUACACAUUUAAUUUCAGACCCAUGGGAACUGUUGACGGACAAGAUGGAGGGCAUUUGGAACUGCCUAUGACUAGAUCUGGAGUCAAAAGAAAGGAAGAGGAAAUAGAGGCAGAGUUCUUGGACGAUGGGGAGAGAACCGAGGAUUCACUGGACACCGACUCUUCCAUUACACCAACCAUCCAGUCUGCACUGUCUCCAACCUCAGUGUCCCAGCAGUGUGUUCCUGACUUAAAGCCCUCAAACACAGAACAGAUGGUUGAUCACAAAAUCUCUCCGGAAGCUGUGAGAGCAGAGUAUCCUCUCUGCUUUCUUCAACUUCACAAUCAUCAUCAUCUGAGCUCUCUUCCUUCCUCAUCUCAGGAUUAGUAUCUUCUUGUUCAUAUUCUUCAUCCCCUCUAGUCUGCAUACUAACGGCAUCUUCACCAUAACCCUCUUCUUCCUCUUCUUCUUCUACUACUUCUAGUUCUAGUUCUUCUUCUUCUUCUUCUUCUUCUAUGACUUCUACUACUUCUUCUUCUACUAUUUCUACUUCUUCUUCAGGACAAGCUUCUACUUCUAUAUCAUAGUAAGUACUUACUGAUUUAACUUCACCAUCACAAACAUCUUUUUCUGCACACUUUACUUUUACACAAUACUUUUCACACUGGUAAGAUCAUCAGAUAAAGUGGCAUAUUUUGAUGCGGUGUUGGGGUCCAGAAUAACAGGAGCUAGAGAGAGAGAGAGAGAGAACAUGAAAACAUAUUUAUUGUUAAACAUGUUGUUUGUUUUUACUGAUACAAAUUAAGUAUUUGAUUUAUUACCAUGUGUGACACACUAUGCUGGUGGAAUAAACAUAAUAAAAAUCUUUUAUGCCUUAAUUAAAAAAAAUGUGGAUGCUGCAUCAUGUAACUGUAAACUAUUUAAAAAGAGCUAUUUAAAAAUGUUUUUGGGAAAUAAAAG
Molecule: long non-coding RNA, 1054 nt
Filed under: Sinocyclocheilus grahami
Lineage: Eukaryota; Metazoa; Chordata; Actinopteri; Cypriniformes; Cyprinidae
Description: lncRNA (ENSSGRG00000039802.1)
Source: RNAcentral